Molecule: ribosomal RNA, 406 nt
Filed under: uncultured bacterium
Lineage: Bacteria
Description: partial 16S ribosomal RNA
Rfam family: Bacterial small subunit ribosomal RNA
Source: RNAcentral
AUUGAACGCUGGCGGCAGGCCUAACACAUGCAAGUCGAGCGAGCGGCGGACGGGUGAGUAAUGUCAGGGAAACUGACAGAUGGAGGGGGAUAACUACUGGAAACGGUAGCUAAUAUCGCAUACCAUCAGAUGUGCCUAGAUGGGAUUAGCUGGUAGGUGGGGUAACGGCUCACCUAGGCGACGAUCCCUAGCUGGUCUGAGAGGAUGACCAGCCACACUGGAACUGAGACACGGUCCCGACUCCUACGGGCGGCAGCAGUGGGGAAUAUUGCACAAUGGGCGAAGGCCUGGUGCAGCCAUGCCGCGUGUGUGAAGAUGGCCUUCGGGUUGUAAAGCACUUUCAGCUGGGAGGCGUUCCCCGCAGAAGAAGCACCGGCUAACUCCGUGCCAGCAGCCGCGGUAAUAC